AGUGGCGAACGGUUGAGUAACACGUAGACAACCUGCCUCGAAGUGGGGGACAACAGCGGGAAACUGCUGCUAAUACCGCAUACGGCUCUCCAGCCUGUUGGGGCAGCUAAAGGCGCAAGCCGCUUCGAGAUGGGUCUGCGGCCUAUCAGUUUGUUGGUGGGGUAACGGCCUACCAAGACGACGACGGGUAGCUGGUCUGAGAGGAUGAUCAGCCAGACGGGGACUGAGACACGGCCCCGACUCCUUCGGGAGGCAGCAAUGAGGAAUAUUGCGCAAUGGGCGAAAGCCUGACGCAGCGACGCCGCGUGGGUGAGGAAGUCCUUCGGGAUGUAAAGCCCUUUUGUCGGGGACGAUCACAGACGGUACCCGACGAAUAAGCCCCGGCUAACUACGUGCCAGCAGCCGCGGUAAUACGUAGGGGGCGAGCGUUGUCCGGAUUUACUGGGCGUAAAGAGCGCGUAGGCGGAAAUUUAAGCGUGGCCUGAAAGCCCCCGGCUCAACCGGGGAGUGCGGCUGCGAACUGGGUUUCUUGAGGACGAUAGAGGAGAGUGGAAUUCCUGGUGUAGCGGUGAAAUGCGUAGAUAUCAGGAGGAACACCCGAGGCGAAGGCGGCUCUCUGGGUCGUACC
Molecule: ribosomal RNA, 628 nt
Filed under: uncultured bacterium
Lineage: Bacteria
Description: bacterial SSU rRNA
Rfam family: Bacterial small subunit ribosomal RNA
Source: RNAcentral